RNAcentral lists this non-coding RNA (431 nucleotides) under Pongo abelii (Sumatran orangutan). Lineage: Eukaryota; Metazoa; Chordata; Mammalia; Primates; Hominidae. The record is from RNAcentral.
UGUUUCAAAAUUUUUUUGAGAGAUAGGAUCUCGCUUAGUUGCCCAGGCUGGUCUUGAACUCCUGGGCUCAAGCAAUCUUCCCACUUUGUACCCCCAAAGUGCUGGGAUUACAGGGGUAAGCCACCGCACCCAACCUCAAUCUUCUUGUGAUCUGUUAUGUUGGCAACCAAGACAGCUACUUAGUGGUUGAUGGGUGGACAGUGUAUACAGCAUGGACACACUGGACAGAGGCAUGACUCAAUGUUCCAGUAUUUUCAGAUUUCAGGUGACUGCUGUAACUUGAAGCAAGAAAAGUGAAACUACAGAAAAGGGAGGGCCACUGGACUGCUGCUUUCAUUCUACGCCCACUUUUUAGAGUGCAUUCCCACAAUAAGCACUCUAACAAUGUAAACCAGGGGCCAAGGGAUGCACCUUCCACUCUACUUCCUUCC